CCUACGGGUGGCAGCAGUGGGGAAUAUUGGGCAAUGGGCGCAAGCCUGACCCAGCAACGCCGCGUGAAGGAAGAAGGCUUUCGGGUUGUAAACUUCUUUUAACAGGGAAGAGCAGAAGACGGUACCUCUUGAAUAAGCCACGGCUAACUACGUGCCAGCAGCCGCGGUAAUACGUAGGUGGCAAGCGUUGUCCGGAUUUACUGGGUGUAAAGGGCGUGCAGCCGGGAAGACAAGUCAGAUGGGAAAUCCCGGGGCUCAACCGCGGAACUGCAUUUGAAACUGUUUGUCGUGAGUACCGGAGAGGUCAUCGGAAUUCCUUGUGUAGCGGUGAAAUGCGUAGAUAUAAGGAAGAACACCAGUGGCGAAGGCGGCUGACUGGACGGCAACUGACGGUGAGGCGCGAAAGCGUGGGGAGCAAACAGGAUUAGAUACCCCAGUAGUC
Molecule: ribosomal RNA, 442 nt
Filed under: uncultured bacterium
Lineage: Bacteria
Description: partial 16S ribosomal RNA
Rfam family: Bacterial small subunit ribosomal RNA
Source: RNAcentral